ACCAGGUCGCAAUUGUAAAUGAGAACUUGUUCUCAACUUGCCUACCUGGUUAAAUAAAGGUGUUCUCAACUAGCCUACCUGAUUAAAUAAAGGUGUUCUCAACUAGCCUACCUGGUUAAAUAAAGGUGUUCUCAACUAGCCUACCUGGUUAAAUAAAGGUGUUCUCAACUAGCCUACCUGGUUAAAUAAAGGUGUUCUCAACUGGCCUACCUGGUUAAAUAAAGGUGUUCUCAACUAGCCUACCUGGUUAAAUAAAGGUGUUCUCAACUGGCCUACCUGGUUAAAUAAAGGUGUUCUCAACUAGCCUACCUGGUUAAAUAAAGGUGUUCUCAACUAGCCUCCCUGGUUAAAUAAAGGUGUUCUCAACUAGCCUCCCUGGUUAAAUAAAGGUGUUCUCAACUAGCCUACCUGGUUAAAUAAAGGUGUUCUCAACUGGCCUACCUGGUUAAAUAAAGGUGUUCUCAACUAGCCUCCCUGGUUAAAUAAAGGUGUUCUCAACUAGCCUACCUGGUUAAAUAAAGGUGUUCUCAACUAGCCUACCUGGUUAAAUAAAGGUGUUCUCAACUAGCCUACCUGGUUAAAUAAAGGUGUUCUCAACUAGCCUACCUGGUUAAAUAAAGGUGUUCUCAACUGGCCUACCUGGUUAAAUAAAGGUGUUCUCAACUGGCCUACCUGGUUAAAUAAAGGUGUUCUCAACUAGCCUACCUGGUUAAAUAAAGGUGUUCUCAACUAGCCUCCCUGGUUAAAUAAAGGUGUUCUCAACUAGCCUCCCUGGUUAAAUAAAGGUGUUCUCAACUAGCCUACCUGGUUAAAUAAAGGUGUUCUCAACUAGCCUACCUGGUUAAAUAAAGGUGUUCUCAACUAGCCUACCUGGUUAAAUAAAGGUGUUCUCAACUAGCCCACCUGGUUAAAUAAAGGUGUUCUCAACUAGCCUACCUGGUUAAAUAAAGGUGUUCUCAACUGGACUACCUGGUUAAAUAAAGGUGUUCUCAACUAGCCUACCUGGUUAAAUAAAGGUGUUCUCAACUGGCCUACCUGGUUAAAUAAAGGUGUUCUCAACUGGCCUACCUGGUUAAAUAAAGGUGUUCUCAACUAGCCUACCUGGUUAAAUAAAGGUGUUCUCAACUGGCCUACCUGGUUAAAUAAAGGUGUUCUCAACUGGCCUACCUGGUUAAAUAAAGGUGUUCUCAACUGGCCUA
Molecule: long non-coding RNA, 1199 nt
Organism: Oncorhynchus keta (chum salmon)
Lineage: Eukaryota; Metazoa; Chordata; Actinopteri; Salmoniformes; Salmonidae
Exons: 3
Source: RefSeq, a predicted model, not a curated record